UACUACGUCAUCCAUUUGUGUACUACGUCAUCCAUUUGUGUACUACGUCAUCCAUCUGUGUACUACGUCAUCCAUUUGUGUACUACGUCAUCCAUUUGUGUACUACGUCAUCCAUUUGUGUACUACGUCAUCCAUUUGUGUACUACGUCAUCCAUUUCGUAUCAUAUGUUACGUCCUGCAAAAUGAUUAUUAUACAUUUUUUGGUGCAAUUCGUAUGAUAGGUUACAAAUGAGUUGUGCUUAAGAUCUGCAUUGUUAAAGGCUCAGUGUAGUCAAAAACGUGAUUUACCUGUGUUUUGUAUACAUUUCCACACUAUGAGGUUGGAAUAAGGAAAUUGUGAAAAUGAUGAUCAUGCCCUUUUAGUGUAAGAGCUGUUUGAAAAAGACAGCCAGAAAUUUCUGCCUGUUUUGGUGGGAGUUAAUUUAUCAGGCGAUAAAUGAGUUAAUAAACCAAUAAGAAAGAGAGUUCCAAACCUCUCUGCCAAUAACAGCUAUUAUAUAUAUUUUUUAAAUGUAUUUUUGUAUUUUACCCCCUUAUUUGACCCAAUUUCGUGAUAUAAAAUUGCGAUCCAAUUCCGUUUCUUGUCUCAUCGCUGCAACUUCCCAACUGGCUCGGGAGAGACGAAGGUCGAGUCAUGCGUCCUCUGAAACAUGACCCGCCAAACCGCACUUCUUAACACCCGCCCGCUUAAACUGGGAAGGCAGCCGCACCAAUGUGUCGGAGGAAACACCGUUCAGCUGAUGACCGAAGUCAGCCUACAGGCAAGCUGGGAAAUGCAUAUCCUCAUAAGCCUGAACAGCAUCUGCACAGAUCUAGGUGUGCCUUUGGCUGCAGAAGAACAGAAGGUGUUGACUAACAAGUAGAAUUGGGACAGCUGACCCAGAACAGAAGGAGUUGACCAACAAGUGGAAUUGGGACAGCUGACCCAGAACAGAAGGAGUUGACCAACAAGUAGAAUUGGGACAGAUGACCCAGAACAGGAGUUGACCAACAAGUGGAAUUGGGACAGAUGACCCAGAACAGAAGGAGUUGACCAACAAGUAGAAUUGGGACAGAUGACCCAGAACAGGAGUUGACCAACAAGUGGAAUUGGGACAGAUGACCCAGAACAGAAGGAGUUGACCAACAAGUGGAAUUGGGACAUAUGACCCAGAACAGAAGGAGUUGACCAACAAGUGGAAUUGGGACAGAUGCCCCAGAACAGAAGGAGAUAACCAACAAGUGGAAUUGGGACAGAUGUGCCAGAACAGAAGGAGAUGACCAACACGUGGAAUUGGGACAGAUGGCCCAGAACAGAAGGAGAUGACCAACAAGUGGAAUUGGGAAAGAUCAACUAGAACAGAAGGAGAUGACCAACAAGUAGAAUUGGGACAGAUAACCAGAACAGAAGGAGAUGACUAACAAGUAGAAUUGGGACAGAUUAACCAGGUCUCAACCUACAUGCACAUACACACACUAUGUUGAUGACAAUGUUUAUAAGAUUAAGUUAUUUCUCGAUGUAUCGCAGGAUGUAACUCUUGUGAUUGUAAUCAAGACUGUGUGUGUGUGUGUGUGUGUGUGUGUGUGUGUGUGUGUGUGUGUGUGUGUGUGUGUGUGUGUGUGUGUGUGUGUGUGUGUGUGUGUGUGUGUGUGCCAUGCAUACUUCCUGUAUAUACACCUCUUGCGUAGGUGAAUUACACUACGUUUCCUCUGCUUGUGCAUAGUACUCUGUGUAACAUAACAGUUUCCUAACAAUGCUAUCUCAGCGAAGGGGGUAUGAUAACAUUUACCAGUGUGUGGCAUAAACAGCAGGCCUUGUGAAUCCAGAGGAUAACCAGACUCCUGGGCCUCGCCCGGCUCCGAUAACGAGUGGAACUCUUCUCCCAACCUUAACAUGCCCUCUUUCUGGAUGGACCAUGUACUUAACUUGGACUGAAGACUGGGAAUCUUCCUUCCAGUGAAGAUGUUAUGCCAGGUUUUUCAUUGGACAUCAGAAUGAAUGUCCAAUUGUCUAUUCAACGGUCACCAACUCUGGAGAAAAGCUAGUGAGCUGCACAGACCAUCCACCCGAGCAUCUCUGCUAUGUUGUAAUUACAUGAUGUCUAUUUUAUGACUACAUUAUUAUUAUUAUUAUGAUGCUAUUAUCAAAAGCAACUGUGACAGGUGUUUACGACUCUCAUUGGUAGAAGGAAGAGUGGACCAAAGCGCAGCGUGGUCAAUGUUCAUGAUUCCUUUUAUUCAAAACCCAAAAAGUAAAGGACAACUUAUAUGUGAUCCCCAAUCAGAGGCAACGAUAGACAGCUGCCUCUGAUUGGGAACCAUGCUCAGCCAAAAACACAAAGAAAUAGAAAACAUAGAUUUUCCCACCCGAGUCACAGCCUGACCUAACCAAACAUAGAGAAUAAUAAGGUUCUCUAAGGUCAGGGCGUGACAGCAGGACUGGCUUUGGGACAAGUCUCUGAACGUCCUUGAGAGGUCCAGCCAGAGCCCGGACUUGAACUUGAUCAAACAUCACUGGAGAGACCUGAAAAUAGCUGUCUCUGGAGAGACCUGAAAAUAGCUGUCUCUGGAGAGACCUGAAAAU
Oncorhynchus tshawytscha (Chinook salmon) is the source of this 2563-nucleotide long non-coding RNA. The record is from Ensembl. NCBI's taxonomy places the organism in Eukaryota, Metazoa, Chordata, Actinopteri, Salmoniformes, Salmonidae.